UCCGCGAUAGCUCAAUGGAGGAGCAUUCGGCUGUUAACCGAUAGGCUGGGGUUCGAGUCCUCUUCGCGGAG
RNAcentral lists this transfer RNA (71 nucleotides) under Clostridium celatum DSM 1785. It matches the Rfam family "tRNA". Rfam says of the family: Transfer RNA (tRNA) molecules are approximately 80 nucleotides in length. Lineage: Bacteria; Bacillati; Bacillota; Clostridia; Eubacteriales; Clostridiaceae. The record is from Rfam by way of RNAcentral.